This is a long non-coding RNA of Syngnathus typhle (broad-nosed pipefish), 531 nucleotides long. RefSeq lists it as uncharacterized. The record is from RefSeq and is a predicted model, not a curated record. NCBI's taxonomy places the organism in Eukaryota, Metazoa, Chordata, Actinopteri, Syngnathiformes, Syngnathidae. The transcript has 2 exons.
UCGUGAUUGGCAGACAGCUUGUCCAGGAUCUCUCGGUCCACGUUCAGGAUGCGCUGCUCCAGGAUGCUGGCGAAAGACUGAGCGCUCUCCUUCUUUUCGCGCUCCAACGCCUGCAGCUGCUGCUUCAAGGAUUCGGGCAGAAAGUUGUGUUAGCCAGUGAUUUCCCGUGAAGACUCUGCAUCCAGCGAUGCUGCUCGUGUGAGCAUGAGGGAAAAUGACGCAUUCAGGUGCCGGCCGGCCCACCCGCGCUCCCUACCUACCUCUCCGCCGUGGCCGUCAAAGAUGCCGAAGAUGGACGGGUGGCUCUUGUUCGCGAUGUCGGUGAGCACCUCGUAGCGAUCCUCCAUGUGAUCCCUUCUGCCUUGUAUUGAGUACACGGCCACGUUGUCGCUCUUGAACUCCCAGGUCUUGGAGAACUCUGCGUCCAGCACGUUGAGGCCUCCUAGCCGCUCGUUGUGCAUCAUCUCGGCCACUUUGCCCUUCACCAUCUUCACGGCGUCGCGGCUUGACUUGACAAUAGUCUUCACUUCG